Molecule: long non-coding RNA, 1327 nt
Filed under: Sus scrofa (pig)
Lineage: Eukaryota; Metazoa; Chordata; Mammalia; Artiodactyla; Suidae
Description: lncRNA (ENSSSCG00040064386.1)
Source: RNAcentral
ACAGGGAGACAAGGCCGGGAGGCAGGGAGGCCCCUGACGAGUGGCAGUGGGGCCGAGGGAGAAGGCCUUCGGGCUUCCGGGAGAGCCGUGGCAGGCGACACUGGGAAGCUUUGUCUCAGAAGUCCCUCCAAGGCCAGUUUUUAUUUUCACCAUAGGCACGGGGCAGCCAACCCCCGCCCCACGCCGGGCACGGGGCCUUCGCCGUCCUCCCAUGAGGGUGCGGAGGUGCCCGAGCUGCGUGGCUGGUUGGAGACGUCGGGGCCCAGGGCAUCACCAGGAAAGCCCCAGGGCCUCCCCACGGGCCGCACAGCAGGAGGCAGGCCCUGGGGCUCCCUCAGCCCAGACCCUCUGUGUGCUUUUGGUGUCAGUCCUGCCCCAUCUCGGGCCACCUCCUGUCCUCUUCGGCUGCACUGUCACCCUGGGCUCAGGUCCUCCCUGUGGAACAGUGGAAACGUGCAGCGGCCGCCUCCCCGUGUAGAGCAGGCCGCCCUCCUGCUUCCUCGACCGGGUCUUGCUGGAACUUCACACAGUCAGACUGUGAGCCCUGCUCCCCUGAAACCGCUUGGGCCCCUCCGUCCAUGUGUGGCCUGGGGACACAGGCUGUGGAUGUCGCAGGACCUGGGCUGAGCCACUGAGGUGGAGCAGAGGGACCCGGGCUUCAGGGCACCUCCCGUGGCUCCAACUGCCUUGGUCUCCUGCUGCCCGGGACCCCCUUUCAGAGCACCCUUGGGGGCAGGGGCCUUGCCCCCACCCACCUGGCAUGGGGCUGUCUCUGGGGGUGCAGCAGUGCAGGCCCCGUCGCAUGCCACCUUCUCCCAGAAGCUCUGGUGCUCCGGGAGGACCAGCCGCACUGAACUUGUAGCCCCCCCCCACCUCCACCCAGCAGGGCAGGCUGGUAUACAGAAGGCGCUUCUUACAGGUGGUGGACAGACCUGGCAAGCGGCGACAUCCUUGGCACGUGACCCAGGCGUCCUUCUGGCUCCAGAGCACUCACGGACUGCUGGGGGGAGGGCUUGAGGCCACAUCAGGGACCCCACAGAGCUGGGACCAAGGUCUGCAGAUGCCUUCCCGGGUCACUCCAUGCCCCCACCUCCCCCGGAGAUGGACAUGCAGCCAGUGUGCAAGCAUCUGAGGCUGAGGCGGACGUCACAGGUGUCCACUGGGCCUCCCAGGUCGCCAGGCCCAAGUGAAAGGCCGCCGGCCCGCGGCCCCAAUGUGCGCGUGGCCCCCCUUGAGCUCAGGGCACCUCAGGGCCACGGUUCGCCUGGAACAAACCAUUUGUGUAAUGGGUGCUGACUUUACUUUCCUGUCUGCAAAGCGCCUGGAG